UAAGGAAUAUUGGUCAAUGGAGGCAACUCUGAACCAGCCAUGCCGCGUGAAGGAUGAAGGCCCUAUGGGUUGUAAACUUCUUUUAUACGGGAAGAAACCCUGAUACGUGUAUCAGGCUGACGGUACUGUAAGAAUAAGGAUCGGCUAACUCCGUGCCAGCAGCCGCGGUAAUACGGAGGAUCCAAGCGUUAUCCGGAUUUAUUGGGUUUAAAGGGUGCGUAGGCGGAAUAGUAAGUCAGUGGUGAAAGCC
RNAcentral lists this ribosomal RNA (250 nucleotides) under uncultured bacterium. RNAcentral's name for it is "partial 16S ribosomal RNA". It matches the Rfam family "Bacterial small subunit ribosomal RNA", at positions 355 to 602 of the family's 1533-position model. The record is from RNAcentral.